CUGCUCCUUCUCCCAUACCCAUUGCAUAUCGGAGUUGUGAAUUCUCAAAACACCUCCUGUGUGCAUGGAUUACAGGAGGGUGAGCCUUAUCAUC
Molecule: microRNA precursor, 94 nt
Filed under: Otolemur garnettii (small-eared galago)
Lineage: Eukaryota; Metazoa; Chordata; Mammalia; Primates; Galagidae
Description: microRNA 660 (ENSOGAG00000017250.1)
Rfam family: mir-660 microRNA precursor family (bases 5-80)
Source: RNAcentral